GAUGAAGAACGUAGCGAAAUGCGACAAGUAAUGUGAAUUGCAGAAUUCAGUGAAUCAUCGAAUCUUUGAACGCACCUUGCGCUCCUUGGUAUUCCAAGGAGCAUGCCUGUUUGAGUAUCAUUAAAUUAUCAACUGUGCCAAUUUGGUUACAGAUUGGAUGUGGGAGAUUCUUUUUGCAGGCCUUUGACUUCUCUUUGAGAAAAAAAAUAAAAGGUCGGCUCUCCUGAAAUGUAUUAGCAGUGCCUUUGUUGGUUCAUUAGGUGUGAUAAAUUGUCUACAUCUUCGCAUGAUACCUUCAUUUGUAAAGGUCAUAUUGCUUCUAAAUUGUCUUUGAUUGGACGCAAAACAUAUAUAAUGUUUGACAAACUUGAUCUCAAAUCAGGCAGGACUACCCGCUGAACUUAAGCAUAUCAAUAAGCGGAGGA
Molecule: unclassified non-coding RNA, 425 nt
Filed under: soil metagenome
Description: partial contains 5.8S ribosomal RNA, internal transcribed spacer 2, and large subunit ribosomal RNA
Rfam family: 5.8S ribosomal RNA (bases 1-120)
Source: RNAcentral